Long non-coding RNA from Perca fluviatilis (European perch), 157 nucleotides. RefSeq lists it as uncharacterized. The transcript has 3 exons. The record is from RefSeq and is a predicted model, not a curated record. Lineage: Eukaryota; Metazoa; Chordata; Actinopteri; Perciformes; Percidae.
GAGGCAUACUUCCGCUCUGGGUCCUUUUGCGUCUGCAGUGCAGUCACGGUUGUGCAACAGUGUCUCCCUGUCACAAACCCGAUCCUUCCUGUAACGGAACCGGGUUGAGUUUUGCUGCUGGCUCCGUGUAGCUGUACUAUCGGCACUAUUGGUGUAU